RNAcentral lists this ribosomal RNA (450 nucleotides) under uncultured bacterium. RNAcentral describes it as "bacterial SSU rRNA". It matches the Rfam family "Bacterial small subunit ribosomal RNA", at positions 354 to 796 of the family's 1533-position model. The record is from RNAcentral.
GUGGGGAAUAUUGGACAAUGGGCGAAAGCCUGAUCCAGCCAUGCCGCGUGUGUGAAGAAGGUCUUCGGAUUGUAAAGCACUUUAAGUUGGGAGGAAGGGCAGUAAGUUAAUACCUUGCUGUUUUGACGUUACCGACAGAAUAAGCACCGGCUAACUUCGUGCCAGCAGCCGCGGUAAUACGAAGGGUGCAAGCGUUAAUCGGAAUUACUGGGCGUAAAGCGCGCGUAGGUGGUUUUGUAAGUUGGAGGUGAAAUCCCCGGGCUCAACCUGGGAACUGCAUUUGUGACUGUAUAGCUAGAGUACGGUAGAGGGGGAUGGAAUUCCGCGUGUAGCAGUGAAAUGCGUAGAUAUAGGAAGGAACACCAGUGGCGAAGGCGACCACCUGGACUGAUACUGACACUGAGGUGCGAAAGCGUGGGGAGCAAACAGGAUUAGAAACCCGUGUAGUCC